Rhopalosiphum padi (bird cherry-oat aphid) is the source of this 1070-nucleotide long non-coding RNA. RefSeq lists it as uncharacterized. The record is from RefSeq and is a predicted model, not a curated record. The transcript has 8 exons. NCBI's taxonomy places the organism in Eukaryota, Metazoa, Arthropoda, Insecta, Hemiptera, Aphididae.
UUGUCUGUUAGUUUAUGUUUUGAUAGUUUCCUUUUCUGAAUUACUCAGUGUUGUCCACGUACUAGUUGUUAUAUAAAAAUUGUCGUUCUCCUUAUGAUGGCUGUACACCAGAUAUACUCAGGACAUAUUGAAACAUGAAUUACCAUUUCUACCACAUGGGAAAGUUUCAACAUCCUACGUUGAAAAUGGACUGGACGAUCCUGAUAAUAAUAAUAGUUUUAUGCAUAGUACGAGUAAUGGAUAUUGAAUAUAAUUGAUAGUCAAUUAAUAGUAGUGUAACAAAAAAUGGCUGUACACCAGAUAUACUCAGGACAUAUUGAAACAUGAAUUACCAUUUCUACCACAUGGGAAAGUUUCAACAUCCUACGUUGAAAAUGGACUGGACGAUCCUGAUAAUAAUAAUAGUUUUAUGCAUAAUGGCUGUACACCAGAUAUACUCAGGACAUAUUGAAACAUGAAUUACCAUUUCUACCACAUGGGAAAGUUUCAACAUCCUACGUUGAAAAUGGACUGGACGAUCCUGAUAAUAAUAAUAGUUUUAUGCAUAAUGGCUGUACACCAGAUAUACUCAGGACAUAUUGAAACAUGAAUUACCAUUUCUACCACAUGGGAAAGUUUCAACAUCCUACGUUGAAAAUGGACUGGACGAUCCUGAUAAUAAUAAUAGUUUUAUGCAUAAUGGCUGUACACCAGAUAUACUCAGGACAUAUUGAAACAUGAAUUACCAUUUCUACCACAUGGGAAAGUUUCAACAUCCUACGUUGAAAAUGGACUGGACGAUCCUGAUAAUAAUAAUAGUUUUAUGCAUAAUGGCUGUACACCAGAUAUACUCAGGACAUAUUGAAACAUGAAUUACCAUUUCUACCACAUGGGAAAGUUUCAACAUCCUACGUUGAAAAUGGACUGGACGAUCCUGAUAAUAAUAAUAGUUUUAUGCAUAAUGGCUGUACACCAGAUAUACUCAGGACAUAUUGAAACAUGAAUUACCAUUUCUACCACAUGGGAAAGUUUCAACAUCCUACGUUGAAAAUGGACUGGACGAUCCUGAUAAUAAUAAUAGUUUUAUGCAU